RNAcentral lists this ribosomal RNA (358 nucleotides) under Platycaranx malabaricus (Malabar trevally). Its description in RNAcentral is "partial 12S ribosomal RNA". It matches the Rfam family "Bacterial small subunit ribosomal RNA", at positions 1024 to 1533 of the family's 1533-position model. The record is from RNAcentral. Lineage: Eukaryota; Metazoa; Chordata; Actinopteri; Carangiformes; Carangidae.
CUGGUUUUAUCCCGCCUAUAUACCACCGUCGCCAGCUUACCCUGUGAAGGUCUAAUAGUAAGCACAAUUGGCAUAGCCCAAAACGUCAGGUCGAGGUGUAGUGCAUGAGAGGGGAAGAAAUGGGCUACAUUCGCUGUCAUCAGCGAACACGAAUGAUGCAUUGAAAUAUGCAGCUGAAGGAGGAUUUAGCAGUAAGCAGGAAACAGAGUGUUCUGCUGAAACCGGCUCUUAAGCGCGCACACACCGCCCGUCACCCUCCCCAAGCACCUGGACCUAAAUUUUCUUUAAACCUAAACAAACGCGAAGGAGAGGAAAGUCGUAACAUGGUAAGCGUACCGGAAGGUGCGCUUGGUCAAAC